UGGUAGUCCCACCCUGUAAACGAUGAAUGCUAGGUGUAGGGGGUAUCGACCCCUUCUGUGCCGGAGUUAACACAAUAAGCAUUCCGCCUGGGGAGUACGGCCGCAAGGUUGAAACUCAAAGGAAUUGACGGGGGCCCGCACAAGCAGCGGAGCAUGUGGUUUAAUUCGAAGCAACGCGAAGAACCUUACCAGGUCUUGACAUCCAAUAAAACUUGUAGAGAUACAUCGUGGACUUCGGUCCGUAUUGAGACAGGUGGUGCAUGGUUGUCGUCAGCUCGUGUCGUGAGAUGUUGGGUUAAGUCCCGCAACGAGCGCAACCCUUGUGAUCAGUUACUAACAGAUAAUGCUGAGGACUCUGAUAAGACUGCCGGGGACAACUCGGAGGAAGGUGGGGACGACGUCAAAUCAUCAUGCCCCUUAUGACCUGGGCUACACACGUGCUACAAUGGCCACUACAGAGAGAAGCGAGCCUGAGAGGGGGAGCGGAUCUCAAAAAAGUGGUCCCAGUUCGGAUUGUGGGCUGCAACCCGCCCACAUGAAGUCGGAGUUGUCUAGUAAUCGGGGAUUCAGC
Molecule: ribosomal RNA, 571 nt
Filed under: uncultured bacterium
Lineage: Bacteria
Description: bacterial SSU rRNA
Rfam family: Bacterial small subunit ribosomal RNA
Source: RNAcentral